This 339-nucleotide unclassified non-coding RNA is filed under the name soil metagenome. RNAcentral's name for it is "partial contains 5.8S ribosomal RNA, internal transcribed spacer 2, and large subunit ribosomal RNA". The stretch from base 1 to 120 matches the Rfam family "5.8S ribosomal RNA", at positions 35 to 154 of the family's 154-position model. The record is from RNAcentral.
GAUGAAGAACGUAGCGAAAUGCGAUACGUAGUGUGAAUUGCAGAAUUCAGUGAAUCAUCGAAUCUUUGAACGCACAUUGCACCUCUCGGUAUUCCGGGAGGUAUGCCUGUUCGAGCGUCAUUUGUACCCUCAAGCUCUGCUUGGUGUUGGUUGUUUGUUCCGCCUCUGUGUGUGAACUCGCCUCAAAACAAUUGGCAGCCGGCGUACUUGUUUCGGAGCGCAGCACAUUUUGCGAUCCAGAUCAACGUACAGCGGCAUCCAAGAAGCCUUAUUUAACGCUCUUGACCUCGGAUCAGGUAGGGAUACCCGCUGAACUUAAGCAUAUCAAUAAGCGGAGGA